Molecule: ribosomal RNA, 895 nt
Filed under: uncultured bacterium
Lineage: Bacteria
Description: bacterial SSU rRNA
Rfam family: Bacterial small subunit ribosomal RNA
Source: RNAcentral
AACGAACACUGGCGGCGUGGAUUAGGCAUGCAAGUCGAACGAGAAAGCUCCCUUCGGGGGGUGAGUAGAGUGGCGAACGGGACAGUAACGCGUGGGAAACCUGCCCUGCAGUGGGGGAUAACACUUCCAACGAGGUGCUAAUACCGCAUACGACCUCCGGUCGCAUGACCGGUCGGUGAAAGGUGGCCUCUGUUUACAAGCUGCCGCUGCUGGAUGGUCCCGCGUCCCAUUAGCUAGUUGGUAGGGUAACGGCCUACCAAGGCUGCGAUGGGUAGGCGGCCUGAGAGGGUGACCGCCGUCACUGGGACUGAGAUACGGCCCAGACUCCUACGGGAGGCAGCAGUCGAGAAGCUUCGGCAAUGGGCGAAAGCCUGACCGAGCGACGCCGCGUGAGCGAUGAAGGCCCUAGUGGUUGUAAAGCUCUGUCAGAUUGGGAAUAAACGCCGGGGGUGAAUAGCCUCCGGAACUGAAGGUACCGUCAGAGGAAGCACCGGCUAACUCCGUGCCAGCAGCCGCGGUAAUACGGAGGGUGCAAGCGUUGUUCGGAUUCACUGGGUAUAAAGGGUUCGUAGGCGGCCCUGUAAGUCAGAGGUGAAAGCUGCCGGCUCAACUGGCAAACUGCCUUUGAAACUGUGGGGCUUGAGUCCGGGAGAGGAAGGCGGAAUUCCAGGUGUAGCGGUGAAAUGCGUAAAUAUCUGGAGGAACACCGGUGGCGAAGGCGGCCUUCUGGUCCGGUACUGACGCCGAGGAACGAAAGCCAGGGGAGCAAACGGGAUUAGAUACCCCGGUAGUCCUGGCCGUAAACGAUGGGCACUAGGUGUUGGAGGAGUCUACCCCUUCAGUGCCGUAGCUAAUGCAUUAAGUGCCCCACCUGGGGAGUACGGUCGCAAGGCUG